CUCUCGCGCAGAUGGAUUGUCAUCCAUCUGGAAUUUUGGUGGUAACCUUGCUGUUCUAGCUCGAACGUGAUUGGAGAAAUUAGGUAAGAGUGACGUACUACUUCAACCAAUCACAUCGAAACGGGCCGUGACGUAGUUUUCAGCGACGCGAGAUAGAAGCCACAACAGAGCAGUUAGCAUGUUGACAGUAGUCCCAGCACAGCUAGCAUGUGUAAAUCUAUAGUGGAUCAUUGUUGGCGUUUGAACGGCAAGCCGCCUGUGGUAUGCCACCUGUGUCCGACAUCGGACCACUGACGGUUACAAAACACACAAGGCAUCGGUGGAUUUUGGUUGGCAAUCCGACAUAGUGCACGAGUACUCUGCAGGGUCCAAACAGCGGCAUGCUACCUGACAAGCCACCUACGUGAGAGCCAGGUUACAUGCUACCAGCCCCUAGCACCAAGGAGGACCGGCUACUCAUUUGGUGCCAGCAUCGUUUGCAUCAGAUAAAUCACAACAAAGAUGUGGUGACCCAAGACCCACGGUUAUAUAAGGGUGGGGAUGUGAAAUGACUGAGAACCUAUUAUCAAGGUAAAUAGGACCCUUGCUGACCUCACCUGUACCUGUGGCCUCGGAAGGUAUCCAAUGUUACAGGUUUGAAUUCUUAGUAAGAGUAACUGAAAAGUAUAUGUGCUGUCCUGCACCACUAUCCACCUAAACCUACAUUAAUUUCUCAAGAGACUGUACUCCUCAUAACAUUACAGUUGACAGACGCUUUUGAUCAAAGUGAUGUACAAGGGCAGUAAUGCAACAUGUGGGUGGAAAAUACUCUGUACACAGAGUAAGUAGCAUACCCUGUUGUUAAUGAACUUUAAGUCACCUAGAAAUAUUUUAAAAUGUGUUGCAAUCAAUUCCCGUGUUGUUUUUGUUCAAAACCUUGUAUGUAGCCACAAUUGUCACACAUAACCUUCUGAAAUGUUUGUCUAAUAUAUACUUCUAUAC
Molecule: long non-coding RNA, 981 nt
Organism: Engraulis encrasicolus (European anchovy)
Lineage: Eukaryota; Metazoa; Chordata; Actinopteri; Clupeiformes; Engraulidae
Exons: 3
Source: RefSeq, a predicted model, not a curated record